This 633-nucleotide long non-coding RNA is filed under the name Lathyrus oleraceus (garden pea). RNAcentral describes it as "Pisum sativum (pea) long non-coding RNA (PSAT_LNC002396)". Lineage: Eukaryota; Viridiplantae; Streptophyta; Magnoliopsida; Fabales; Fabaceae. The record is from RNAcentral.
GAAACGUGGGAUAAAUUGUUAAGAGACAUUUUAAGGAAUCAUAUGCUUCUCACCUAUGAUUUUUGAUGUCCUAAAAUGUUUGUUCUAUUUCAUGCAGUGUCUAUCAAUUUUAUUCAGUCUCCAUUCAGUCCUAAGAAUAUCUUCCCAAUCCCAUAGCUUAUGAUAUAUGUUAACAACCAAAGACCUAUAUACCCAUGUAUUGAAAAUCUAUGUUUAGAGAUUGAAUUCAGAGUUUGAACAUCAUGAUGAUUCCAUGGUAUAUAAUAGAGUACAUUACAUGCUUUAUUAGUUUGAAAUUAGAAAAACUGGAAAGAAAACUAUGCUAAAACGAGCUGAUCUGAAAAAAAGUUUUAUUCAUUGCUUUUGGAGCUUUGAUAAAACUCAGUGUCCACCAUAAUAAGUUUCUGCACUUCAUAACAAAUAUACAGAAUGCUGCAUCACUUCUCUUUCCACAAAUGACUUGGAAGUUUAGUCCAACUUUAAGUACUAAUCAUGAGUGUGAAACCUGAACCUGAAAUUCAAAUCAAGAAGAAGUCCAUUAUUACCUUUCUAUUUUGUAUUUUAGCAAUUUUGAAAUCAACAAUAAGAUUAUAAAAAAAUCUCAAAUAUCUCACCAGUAAAAAGGUCUUUUUG